GCGAUGCCGCGAGGCGGAGCGAAUCUCAAAAAGCCGGUCUCAGUUCGGAUUGGGGUCUGCAACUCGACCCCAUGAAGUCGGAGUUGCUAGUAAUCGCAGAUCAGCAUUGCUGCGGUGAAUACGUUCCCGGGCCUUGUACACACCGCCCGUCACGUCACGAAAGUCGGUAACACCCGAAGCCGGUGGCCCAACCCCUUGUGGGAGGGAGCUGUCGAAGGUGGGACUGGCGAUUGGGACGAAGUCGUAACAAGGUAGCCGUACCGGAAGGUGCGGCUGGAUCACCUCCUUUCUAAGGAG
This 297-nucleotide ribosomal RNA is filed under the name Streptomyces sp. SID4937. RNAcentral describes it as "partial 16S ribosomal RNA". It matches the Rfam family "Bacterial small subunit ribosomal RNA", at positions 1249 to 1533 of the family's 1533-position model. Lineage: Bacteria; Bacillati; Actinomycetota; Actinomycetes; Kitasatosporales; Streptomycetaceae. The record is from RNAcentral.